CAUGGAUAACUGUGGUAAUUCUAGAGCUAAUACAUGCAGCAAGCCUUGACCCUUACGGGCAAGGCGCAGUUAUUAGAUCAAAAACCAAUCGGUUGUAUCUUCGGAUAUAGCCGUUAGCUUGGUGACUCUGAGUAACCACAGCGAACCGUAUGGCCUUGUGCUCGACGGUCUGUCAGUCAAGCAACUGCCUUAUCAGCUUGUUGUUAGGUUAUAUGCCUAACAAGGCUUCAACGGGUAACGAACGAUCGGGGUCGGAUAUCGGAGAGGGAGCUUGAGAAACGGCUACCACUUCCAAGGAAGGCAGCAGGCGCGCAAAUUACCCACUCUCGGCAUGAGGAGGUAGCGAUAAAAUGUAUCGAUGCGGGGCCAUUAGUGCCUUCGUAAUCGGAAUGAGUACACUUUAAAUCCUAUAACAAGGACCUAUUGGAGGGCAAGUCUGGUGCCAGCAGCCGCGGUAAUUCCAGCUCCAAUAGCGUAUAUUAAUGCUGCUGCGGUUAAAAAGCUCGUAGUCGGAUCUGGGUUACCGGCGGGUACCGCAUGUUGCUUCAUGCAGCAUGUUGUGUACUAUACGUGUCGCUUCGGCGGCACUGCCAGUGUAAUGCUAUCUUAUAGGUACGUUACGCUGGUCGCCGGAACCACGGGCCGGGUUGAGCAGCAUGCUCUUAAUUGAGUGUGUUGUUUACUCGGUGCGUUUACUUUGAAAAAAUUGGAGUGCUCAAAGCAAGCGUACAGUCGCUAUGCGGCUUGAACAGUGGUGCAUGGAAUAAUGAAAUAGGGCCUCGGUUCUAUUUUGUUGGUUUUAAGAUAUCGAGGUAAUGAUUAAGAGGGACAGACGGGGACGUUUGUAUUGCGACGUUAGAGGUGAAAUUCUUGGAUCGUCGCA
Molecule: ribosomal RNA, 883 nt
Filed under: Echiniscus perarmatus
Lineage: Eukaryota; Metazoa; Tardigrada; Heterotardigrada; Echiniscoidea; Echiniscidae
Description: SSU rRNA
Rfam family: Eukaryotic small subunit ribosomal RNA
Source: RNAcentral